RNAcentral lists this long non-coding RNA (315 nucleotides) under Elaeis guineensis (African oil palm). RNAcentral's name for it is "long non-coding RNA (EGUI_LNC020660)". The record is from RNAcentral. Lineage: Eukaryota; Viridiplantae; Streptophyta; Magnoliopsida; Arecales; Arecaceae.
CUAAAUAUUGGUUUUAUUGCAGUCAAUCUCCUAUCGCUUGUCGUCGGUGAAGAGCACCUGCAAAACAAAAUCUUCACAAAUCGAAAUUGUGUCCGGCGGAGAUCCUCCGAUACUUAAGUCAGCGGAGAGUGAUGAACAGCAGAUGAAAAAUAUUUAAAUUGACAGAGUUUCGGCCCAGAAUUGUCUUAUCCAUGCUGCUCAUUUACUUCUCUUUUAUAGAUGAUUCUGAUAUAAUCGUUGAGCACGUGGUCCCGCUUUUUAUAGCGCUAAAUUAUCGGACCAUAAUCAUAGAGUUAAUGGAUCGUUUAUGCCCAC